CAGGUAUUCAAGAUGAUUCAGUAGUCUCAAUGUGGAUCAGCUCAGAUCCUGACAGUUAAGCGUGAUAGCGGGGGACACUGUCUUCGUACCUGGAACGCCGGAAGAACCCGCACUGCGCAGAGAAGGAAAAGAACAGUUUAGCUCUAAGUUGCUUCCAAAGUCCUACAACUGUAGAGGCAGUAAAUUCCUCCUUCACACAAAUAUGCAGAAAAGCUACAAUAAAGUGUGUCCGUAGCACUUGAAGGUGGCUGUGAAGAGCAGAAGGAAGCCUCUACAGAAACCAGUUUGUGGACUACUACAUGGGACAGGCAAAACCACAGGGUGUAGAACAAAACCAGUUACUGCUUUGACUCCUUCAAUACAAGCUUUUGUCUUAAACCAAUGAUAUAUCUGUCUUUCCAGUACAAUGUUUGUUCUUCAAAAAACAGCACAGUAAAACACUAGUAGUUAGAACCUAACAGCCUACCCAGUAUUCAUUCAUCUGAAAUAC
This is a long non-coding RNA of Ficedula albicollis (Collared flycatcher), 490 nucleotides long. RefSeq lists it as uncharacterized. The transcript has 3 exons. NCBI's taxonomy places the organism in Eukaryota, Metazoa, Chordata, Aves, Passeriformes, Muscicapidae. The record is from RefSeq and is a predicted model, not a curated record.